UACAGAGGUCUCAAGCGUUGUUCGGAUUCAUUGGGCGUAAAGGGUGCGUAGGCGGGGCUUUAAGUCAGGGGUGAAAUCCUGGAGCUCAACUCCAGAACUGCCUUUGAUACUGAAGAUCUUGAGUUCGGGAGAGGUGAGUGGAACUGCGAGUGUAGAGGUGAAAUUCGUAGAUAUUGGGAAGAACACCGGUGGCGAAGGCGGCGCUCUGGACCGAGACUGACGCUGAGGCGCGAAAGCGUGGGGAGCAAACAGG
This 253-nucleotide ribosomal RNA is filed under the name uncultured bacterium. RNAcentral describes it as "partial 16S ribosomal RNA". It matches the Rfam family "Bacterial small subunit ribosomal RNA", at positions 524 to 776 of the family's 1533-position model. The record is from RNAcentral.